GAUGAAGAACGUAGCGAAAUGCGAUAAGUAGUGUGAAUUGCAGAAUUCAGUGAAUCAUCGAAUCUUUGAACGCACAUUGCGCCCCUUGGUAUUCCAUGGGGCAUGCCUGUUCGAGCGUCAUCUACACCCUCAAGCUCUGCUUGGUGUUGGGCGUCUGUCCCGCCUUUGCGCGUGGACUCGCCCCAAAUUCAUUGGCAGCGGUCCUUGCCUCCUCUCGCGCAGCACAUUUGCGCUUCUCGAGGUGCGCGGGCCGCGUCCACGAAGCAACUAUUACCGUCUUUGACCUCGGAUCAGGUAGGAAUACCCGCUGAACUUAAGCAUACAAUAAGCGGAGGA
This 336-nucleotide unclassified non-coding RNA is filed under the name soil metagenome. RNAcentral describes it as "partial contains 5.8S ribosomal RNA, internal transcribed spacer 2, and large subunit ribosomal RNA". The stretch from base 1 to 120 matches the Rfam family "5.8S ribosomal RNA", at positions 35 to 154 of the family's 154-position model. The record is from RNAcentral.